GAUGAACGCUGGCGGCGUGCCUAAUACAUGCAAGUCGAGCGAACAGAUAAGGAGCUUGCUCCUUUGACGUUAGCGGCGGACGGGUGAGUAACACGUGGGUAACCUACCUAUAAGACUGGAAUAACUCCGGGAAACCGGGGCUAAUGCCGGAUAACAUUUAGAACCGCAUGGUUCUAAAGUGAAAGAUGGUUUUGCUAUCACUUAUAGAUGGACCCGCGCCGUAUUAGCUAGUUGGUAAGGUAACGGCUUACCAAGGCAACGAUACGUAGCCGACCUGAGAGGGUGAUCGGCCACACUGGAACUGAGACACGGCCCAGACUCCUACGGGAGGCAGCAGUAGGGAAUCUUCCGCAAUGGGCGAAAGCCUGACGGAGCAACGCCGCGUGAGUGAUGAAGGUCUUCGGAUCGUAAAGCUCUGUUAUUAGGGAAGAACAAAUGUGUAAGUAACUGUGCACGUCUUGACGGUACCUAAUCAGAAAGCCACGGCUAACUACGUG
Molecule: ribosomal RNA, 497 nt
Filed under: uncultured bacterium
Lineage: Bacteria
Description: partial 16S ribosomal RNA
Rfam family: Bacterial small subunit ribosomal RNA
Source: RNAcentral